GAUGAACGCUGGCGGCGUGCCUAAUACAUGCAAGUCGAGCGAACAGACGAGGAGCUUGCUCCUCUGACGUUAGCGGCGGACGGGUGAGUAACACGUGGAUAACCUACCUAUAAGACUGGGAUAACUUCGGGAAACCGGAGCUAAUACCGGAUAAUAUAUUGAACCGCAUGGUUCAAUAGUGAAAGACGGUUUUGCUGUCACUUAUAGAUGGAUCCGCGCCGCAUUAGCUAGUUGGUAAGGUAACGGCUUACCAAGGCAACGAUGCGUAGCCGACCUGAGAGGGGAGCGGCCCACACUGGACCUGAGACAGGUCCCAGCCCCCUCCGGGGGGAACCAGUAGGAAUUCUUCCGAAAGGGCCGAAGGCCUGACGGGCCAACGCCGGUGGAGUAAUAAAGUUUUUGGUAUCUAAAACCUCUUUUUUUGGGGAAAAAAAAUUGUGAAAGUAACUAUCCCCGUCUUGAGGUACCCUAAUAAGAAAGCCACGCCAACCUACGUC
Molecule: ribosomal RNA, 497 nt
Filed under: uncultured bacterium
Lineage: Bacteria
Description: partial 16S ribosomal RNA
Rfam family: Bacterial small subunit ribosomal RNA
Source: RNAcentral